ACGUCAAGUCCUCAUGGCCCUUACGGGCUGGGCUACACACGUGCUACAAUGGCGACUACAGAGGGAAGCAAAGCGGCAACGUGGAGCCAAUCCCCAACAGUCGUCUCAGUUCGGAUUGUCCUCUGCAACUCGAGGGCAUGAAGUCGGAAUCGCUAGUAAUCGCGUAUCAGCAUGACGCGGUGAAUACGUUCCCGGGCCUU
This 200-nucleotide ribosomal RNA is filed under the name uncultured prokaryote. RNAcentral describes it as "partial 16S ribosomal RNA". It matches the Rfam family "Bacterial small subunit ribosomal RNA", at positions 1182 to 1382 of the family's 1533-position model. The record is from RNAcentral.